AACAGAACACUAAACAGUUUCACAGAAAGCUUCUUUACAGUUUUUAUCUGAGGAUAUUUUCUUUUUCACCAUAGCCCUCCAUGGGCUUGCAAAUAUCACUUUGCAUAUUCCACAAGAACAGUCUUAGCGAAAGGCUUCUUGAGGGGAAAGCUGUAACUCUGUGAGAUGAUUUCACAGAACACAAAGAAGUUUCUCAGAAAGCUUCUUUCUCUUUGUUAUCGGAGGAUAUUUCCUUUGGCCCUAUAGUCUUCAAAGGGAUCCGAAAUAUCCGUUCUCAGAUUCCACAGAAAUAGGGCUAGCAAACAGAUCCACGAAAUACAGAUGUAACUCUGUGAGUGAAAGUCACACAUCACAAAGCAGUUUCUGAGAAGCUUCUUAUCAGUUUUUCUCAGAGGAUAAUUUGUUUUUCACCAUAGCCCUCUAGGGGCUUCCAAAUAUCACUUUGCCAAUUCCACAAGAACAGGCUUAGCGAACGGCUUCUUGAGGGGAAAGCUGUAACUCUGUGAGAUGAAUUCACAGAACACUAAGCAGUUUCUCAGAAAGCUUCUUUCCAGAUUUCAUGUGAGGAUAUUUCCUUUUCACCGUAGCCCUCUAUGGGCAUGAAAUAUCCUUUACCAGUCCUAGAACUGGCGAAAGGCUUCUUGAGGGAAAAGCUGUAUCUGUGUGAGAGAAACUAACAGAACACUAACAUGUUUCUCAGAAAGCUUCCUUCCAGAUUUCAUCUGAGGAUAUUUCCUUUUUUCCCUUAGCCUCUAUGGGCAUCGAAAUAUCACUUUGCCAAUUCCACAUGUACAGCAGGAGCUGAGCGAAAGGCUGUGAGACAGAAGCUGC
Molecule: long non-coding RNA, 831 nt
Filed under: Papio anubis (olive baboon)
Lineage: Eukaryota; Metazoa; Chordata; Mammalia; Primates; Cercopithecidae
Description: lncRNA (ENSPANG00000039200.1)
Source: RNAcentral